RNAcentral lists this long non-coding RNA (2828 nucleotides) under Homo sapiens (human). Its description in RNAcentral is "HSALNT0002386". The record is from RNAcentral. Lineage: Eukaryota; Metazoa; Chordata; Mammalia; Primates; Hominidae.
AAGCAAUCCACCUGCCUUGGCCUCCCAAAGUGCUGGGAUUACAGGCAUGAGCCACUGCGCCUGGCCUCAAACAUUCUCUUCUGAUACGCAACUGCAGACCUUAAGCCAUUUCAGCAGCUUAUAGAGUCUGCAAACAAGCUGUCUUUGUGUCCUGCACCUUUUGCUAUAAAGAACGAAAUUCCACCUCAUUUUAGUACUAGAACCCUAGCCCAAAGUGAAAGUGGGGUCUGCUUUACACUACGUGUGUGAAAGUGGGGCGUGCAUUACACUACGUGUGCCUGUGUGCAUACACUCCCCUCCCUUCAUAAAUAUGGAUAGCCUUUCCCGCAAACCUGCUGAAUAUGUAUGACUCUAUUGCGUCAUAUGGGCUCCAUGAGGCACAAAACCCAACCUGCCCUUUUCCUCUCCCAAGAGAGAGCACGUCCAGAACACGCCAGAGACUGUCUCUUCCUGGUUUGCAAACUCAUACCACUAGUAAAGCUCCUUUCUGCUAUUUAGCUAUCCUGGUGGUCUUUUGGGCAACAUGCUUAUCUGGGAAGAGCUGUCUUGUAAUCUCUGUGUCUGCAUCAGACUCUGCCAGCCCUAGAUUGGGAGCUCUGAGAUGACAUAGGCUGCGUCCCACCCCAGCAGCAGCAUGCAAGGUCAAAAGGCUGUGGCAGGAGGCCAGGCAGAUCACAGCGUCCAUGCCUAGAUGCUCCCUGACCCCCAGGAACCAGAAGUGCUGUCUCCUGAAGGCUCUGGAAACCCGGAAUCAGCCUACGAGGCACCAGGGCCACCUUGGAGGGUGGAAAUGAGGACCUCAGGCCCCAGAGGGCAUGCAGGCGAGGUGAAGUUCAGGAGAGCCAGGAAGUGUCCCCCUCUUCCCGGCCUGCUGUAUCCCAGGACACAGGGCGGGAAAGAACAUGGGCUGUGUGGCCUUGGACCAAUUGCUUGCCCUCUCUGGGCCUUCUUAUUGGUGACAGACAGACUGGUGACUUUCUGAGAGGAUCUAUGCAACCUCAGGCUCCUGCACCUGGGUUACAGGGUCUUCUGGAGGGGAAGAGAUGAGCAGCAAGGACAAUAGCAGUGCUCCCUUCCCGGGUCAGUUGCAAGGAUUAAGGAUGAUGUCUGCAAAGUGCUUAGUCAGAGCCGGCAUACGGUAAGUGCUCAAUAAAUGCUGGCUCCCAUUAUUAGUAUCCCUUCCCUCCACGCCCUCAACACAUCCCUUUAUCAUGAUGGAAUAACCAAUUGCCUGGUAACAACAUGUUCACACUUCCACGCUCCCCAUCAACCAUGCUCACCUAUAAGGCAGGCUGCGACCAGCUCCUCUUCAUCUAUUCAUUGCCUGGCCCAUGCUAGGGGCCCAAGAAAUGUCUGCUGCAUCAACGAGUGAUUUUGGGAAAGGUGCUGAGCCCUUCUGUCCCAUGAAGUUCUUGCGAGACAGUGUCUCACCAGCAACCUGGAUCGUGAGAACCACAGCGGGUGGGCCAGAUCUAGAUGGAGAGUGUCCAUUGGGCAGAGCUGCUUCUGUGAAAGGAAAGGAAGUUUUUCAAGAAACCAUGAGGGGGGCCCAAGAAUCCAAGUUUCUAACUCUGGGAUCGGUUUUCUGUCUUUUACCUCGGUUUGCCUCUCCCUAGCUGUGUGGUUUAUGGCAAGUCACUCUGUGCCUCUGUCUCCACGUGUUCAAGGAGGCAGCCGGUCCAAGGGGCCUUCAUAGAAGGGGCUGCCGAGAUGUGAGCCCUGCAUUGGGGGGAUGCCCCACAGAGGUGCUGUCCCCCAUCCCCUUUCCAGGGAACUCACAGCGAAAUCUACCAACCAAAGAGGAUGUCCAUACCUGUCUUUUUCUUUCUUCCUUCAUUUUUUGACUUAAUUUCCUCACUUGAAAAAAAAAAAUAAAACACCUUAUUCAGGGUAUACUUUAUGGGCAGUCUUAAUUUUUUUUAUUAGGAUGUGGGAUGUAAAUCCAUAAAAGAAGUAGAAGUGCUGAGCCUUCCUGUGGAGUGGGUGCUGGAGGGGAAAAGGUGGAGUUAGGGGAGGGAAGGGGAGGGCAGGAAGGUUGGUGAUGGGCAGAGAUUCACAGAGACUCCCAGGUCAGGGAGCAAUCCCCCAGUCAGGGCAGCAGGAAUGCCCAGAGGAAUUCUGAUCGGGACAGACGUCGGGCACUGAAUGAAGAGAGGUCCCUCAGGGGCCUGGUCUCAGGGGCCUUGAAUUCCACGCAAAGCGUGUCUUGAGCAUCAACUAUAUGCCAGGCACCUUUUACAUAUAUUAUUUCUUACUUCUAAAUUAUUCCAGAUUUUAAGCCGGGUGCAGUGGCUCACGCCUGUAAUCUCAGCAUUUUGGGAGGCCAAGGCAGAUGGAUAACCUGAGGUCAGGAGUUCGAGACCAGCCUGGCUAACACGGUGAAACCCCGUCUCUACUAAAAAUACAAAAAUUGCCUGGGUGUGGUGGUGCAUGCCUGUAAUCCUAGCUACAUGGAAGGCUGAGGCAGGAGGAUUGCUUGAACCUGAGUGGCAGAGGUUGCAAUGAGCUGAGAUUGUGCCACCGAGCUCCAGCCUGGACUACAAAGUGAGACUCCAUCUCAAAAUAAUAAAUAAAUAAAUAAAUAAAUCUAUCAAUCCAGAUUUUACCAAUUAGGAGACUGAGCCUCAGAGAAGUUAAAUCACUUGUCCAGAGCCCUGAAAUUGGAGAAGCAGCUGCGCUCAGACUGGAACCCUAGAUGGUAGGGCCCCUUAGUCCUCCUUUAUCUUGGGGGGAUCCAGGGAAGGCUUUUCAGCAGGGGAAUGAUGCAAUUGGAUACACAUGUCAGGGGGAACAUGACUGCUUGUGGCAAGGAACGCAGUAAGCCUGGG